This 74-nucleotide transfer RNA is filed under the name SAR202 cluster bacterium MP-SAtl-SRR3965592-G1. RNAcentral describes it as "tRNA-Val". It matches the Rfam family "tRNA". From Rfam's summary of the family: Transfer RNA (tRNA) molecules are approximately 80 nucleotides in length. Their secondary structure includes four short double-helical elements and three loops (D, anti-codon, and T loops). RNAcentral also lists the same sequence under 3 other names. The record is from RNAcentral. Lineage: Bacteria; Bacillati; Chloroflexota; Dehalococcoidia.
GGGCGGUUAGCUCAGUUGGUUAGAGUACUUGCUCGACACGCAAGAGGUCACUGGUUCGAGUCCAGUACCGCCCA